Molecule: non-coding RNA, 118 nt
Filed under: Selaginella moellendorffii
Lineage: Eukaryota; Viridiplantae; Streptophyta; Lycopodiopsida; Selaginellales; Selaginellaceae
Description: Eukaryotic large subunit ribosomal RNA
Rfam family: Eukaryotic large subunit ribosomal RNA
Source: Rfam by way of RNAcentral
UGUGCUUUGAAUGUCAAAGUGAAUAUAUUCAAUCAAUUGUAGGUAAAUUGGCAAGAGUGAUUAUGAUUCUUUUAAAGUAGUUAAAUGCCUCAUCAUCUAAUUAGUGACAUGUAUGAAU